This 496-nucleotide ribosomal RNA is filed under the name uncultured bacterium. RNAcentral describes it as "partial 16S ribosomal RNA". It matches the Rfam family "Bacterial small subunit ribosomal RNA", at positions 28 to 506 of the family's 1533-position model. The record is from RNAcentral.
GAUGAACGCUGGCGGCGUGCCUAAUACAUGCAAGUCGAGCGAACAGACGAGGAGCUUGCUCCUCUGACGUUAGCGGCGGACGGGUGAGUAACACGUGGAUAACCUACCUAUAAGACUGGGAUAACUUCGGGAAACCGGAGCUAAUACCGGAUAACAUGUUGAACCGCAUGGUUCAACAGUGAAAGACGGUUUUGCUGUCACUUAUAGAUGGAUCCGCGUCGCAUUAGCUAGUUGGUAAGGUAACGGCUUACCAAGGCAACGAUGCGUAGCCGACCUGAGAGGGUGAUCGGCCACACUGGAACUGAGACACGGUCCAGACUCCUACGGGAGGCAGCAGUAGGGAAUCUUCCGCAAUGGGCGAAAGCCUGACGGAGCAACGCCGCGUGAGUGAAGAAGGUCUUCGGAUCGUAAAACUCUGUUAUUAGGGAAGAACAAAUGUGUAAGUAACUAUGCACGUCUUGACGGUACCUAAUCAGAAGGCCACGGCUAACUACGU